Molecule: ribosomal RNA, 406 nt
Filed under: uncultured bacterium
Lineage: Bacteria
Description: partial 16S ribosomal RNA
Rfam family: Bacterial small subunit ribosomal RNA
Source: RNAcentral
AUUGAACGCUGGCGGCAGGCCUAAUACAUGCAAGUCGAACGAGUGGCGGACGGGUGAGUAAUGUAUGGGAAACUGCCUGAUGGAGGGGGAUAACUAGUGGAAACGGUAGAUAAUACCGCAUACCAUACGAUGUGGCCAGGUGGGAUUAGGUUGUUGGGGGGGUAACGGCUCACCAAGGCGACGAUCCCUAGCUGGUCUGAGAGGAUGAACAGCCACACUGGAACUGAGACACGGUCCAGACUCCUACGGGAGGCAGCAGUGGGGAAUAUUGCACAAUGGGCGCAAGCCUGAUGCAGCCAUGCCGCGUGUAUGAAGAAGGCCUUCGGGUUGUAAAGUACUUUCGGCGGGGAGGCGUUACCCACAGAAGAAGCACCGGCUAACUCCGUGCCAGCAGCCGCGGUAAUUC